Rhincodon typus (whale shark) is the source of this 1895-nucleotide long non-coding RNA. RefSeq lists it as uncharacterized. The record is from RefSeq and is a predicted model, not a curated record. NCBI's taxonomy places the organism in Eukaryota, Metazoa, Chordata, Chondrichthyes, Orectolobiformes, Rhincodontidae. The transcript has 2 exons.
GCAGAGUUUGUACAAAGAACAAAGUGGGUGAAUGAUCCCAUUUUCUGGGCGCUCACUUAAUACGUUCUCCACCAGAUACAUGGAUGCCGCCCGAGCCUGGGCGCUAAACUUUAGAUCAACUCUAGGUGUUUCACAAGAAAUACCGGCAACGUUUGAGUUUAAAAGUGAUAAAGAGGACUCAAGUAGGCGAUUUUCUUAGGUAAGAAAAAUGAGGGAGGAAAGGUAUCAGAUUACGGAAGUGCCGAGUCUGCAGAGCAAACUAUUCAUUAAAACGAGAUAAAUAAUUCACUAAGUUUCCACCAGCCGAUAGCUUGCAAAAUGUCCCUUUCCCACUCCUGGGCAGACUCUGUUGUAAAUAAAAAUGCCAUUUCCACGGGUCCCCAGUGUUGUACCUGCGGACACAGCUUUAGAAAAAGCAGACAAGAUCUUACUAAAGCGCGCCUCCCUCUGACGCACAAACUUCACACAGCAGCUGUCCGCUUUUUAAAAAAAAGGGAAAAAAACGUCUGCGACCUCUCUUGCGUUUAAAGUCUAUAAUUUUGUAUUUGAAAAAGUAAAGCUGUAGCGUGGGGAUCACUUUAAACAUGACAAAAAAAACAGUGGAAACUGAAAAGUUAAUGCAAUUUGAAAUUCGAGCAUGAUUUAAUGUAUUUUGCGAGCGUUUGCCUGCCAGGAUUCUAUCUGAAGGUUUAACAGCAAACUGGUCACGCACUUUUCCCAUUAUCGAAGUGUUGAUGUCGGAUAAUGGCACUGUACAAACUAGUAACCAGGCUCACACUCAAGUGAAUUAAGCGAGACACGACAAGAAAAUUCGUGCGAAAAGAUCUUCAAGAGGGAUAAAAAAAAAUACUGCCUUACCAGACAUUCUAGGAUUUAUAAUUGUCAGCUUGCUUCAGGAGAGAUGCUUUGAAUGGCCCCAGCAAUGAAUCUUUCUCUUCAGAUUUGUUGAUAAGAGUGCAAUUUUCUUAAAAUUAAGGCAAUGUGCUAGGUUCAGCACUGAAAUUUGAACAAUACACAAUCACAAUUAUUGCACUAUACCUUGGGACAUAACUUAGAGUUUUGCAGCACUCAUGCCGACCUUUUUAAAACCUCUACAAUCCAAUGAUUUGACAAUGAAUGAUUGCGCGAUACUUUCAAUUUGAAUAUUCAAAGCCCAGACAAAAAGAGUGCUCUCUUUUUCAAACACUGUGCUUUUCCAUCUAUUAAAGACUCCAAUGGAAUGAAAUACAAUGUAAAGUAUGGAACUUUAUGCAUGAUUGUCCACAUUUUUGUGAUUUUAAGAAUCUUUGGCUAGUGGGGCCAGAGAGACUCAAACAUGUCCAUAAUUUUUGCCCUGCCAUCUCAUUUUUACCCCAGAGCCCUCCCAACUCCACAUUCACAUUUGCCAGCGAUGCACUACAGCCCUGGGUACACUUUAUAUCGACGUUUUAUCCUGAUAAGUGGUAUUUAUCCACGAUUUGGUACCAAACAUGGCAGAUUGUGGGCGUGGCAUAGAGUAGUCCUUUAAUCGAGCAUGGAGUGAGAAUAAAAACAGCAAACGGUUGAUCUCCAGCUACAUUCUACAUCUAUAGCAGUCUUACAGAGCUCUGGGAAAUAAGAAUUGUUUGUAACGAAAUUCUUCAAUUAGAGGAAGCGAAGAUUUCCUUACAGUAAUGACCCUGUGAUAUUUGAAUAUCGCCUGCCCGUUUGAGGACAGCUUUUGGGAUUUUAUUUCAUUCUGAUUUUCUGGCGGUUUAACGGCAUCGCAAGCAACUAAGGCCUUUCGAGCGGAUCCCAAUGCAUCGGACCUUCGUCGUUCAGACACGGGGAGCGGGAUUCUCCUGUCCUAAUGUCUGUGUUCAUUGUUUUUCAUUUUGUUAUGGUGCAUCAUUAAUAAAACAAUCCUGUUUGUUAAA